Molecule: ribosomal RNA, 433 nt
Filed under: uncultured bacterium
Lineage: Bacteria
Description: partial 16S ribosomal RNA
Rfam family: Bacterial small subunit ribosomal RNA
Source: RNAcentral
AACGAACGCUGGCGGCAUGCCUAACACAUGCAAGUCGAACGAGACCUUCGGGUCUAGUGGCGCACGGGUGCGUAACGCGUGGGAACCUGCCCUUAGGUUCGGAAUAACUCCCCGAAAGGGGUGCUAAUACCGGAUAAUGUCUUCGGACCAAAGAUUUAUCGCCUUUGGAUGGGCCCGCGUUGGAUUAGCUAGUUGGUAGGGUAAAAGCCUACCAAGGCGACGAUCCAUAGCUGGUCUGAGAGGAUGAUCAGCCACACUGGGACUGAGACACGGCCCAGACUCCUACGGGAGGCAGCAGUGGGGAAUAUUGGACAAUCGGCGAAAGCCUGAUCCAGCAAUGCCGCGUGAGUGAUGAAGGCCUUAGGGUUGUAAAGCUCUUUUACCCGGGAUGAUAAUGACAGUACCGGGAGAAUAAGCUCCGGCUAACUCCGUG